UUUCCGUUUUUUUAUUCAGUUGUGUUCUUAGCGUCUCUUCGAUGGCCCAAGUUCCUAUCUUCAGUUCCACUUCUGCCCUUUCUCUCCGUUUAGUACAUACAAUAUAGAAGUUUCGGAUUUAUCCAAUACCCCUUAUUAUAAUUCUCUCUCUCCCUCUAUCUAACCACCAACAAUCUUAAUGGAAACAAUUACAAGCACAUUGCAUUUUAACAUAAACAGUUACAAAUAGACAAAACAAGACAAAACAACACGUUAUAUCUCUGACCCCUGAAAGCCGAUCCUUAUCAGUGAACCUCUAUCAGACUGGCCGUACCGGGUCACGGGUCCCAAAAUUACAAUUUGUCCCCUCGGCGCCAGAUUUGAUGAAUAGUAAUUAGCUAUCCCCUACUGAUCUCUAUUCCUGAUCCCUAUCGAGCUGACCCCUAUCAGAAUUAUCACACAUGUCCGACCCCUAUCGGUGAAUCUCUAUCAGACUGGCCGUACCGGGUCACGGGUCCCAAAAUUACAAUUUGUCCCCUCGGCGCCAGAUUUGAUGAAUAGUAAUUAGCUAUCCCCUACUGAUCUCUAUUCCCGACCCCUAUCGGAACUAUCCAGGCCUUAAAAGUGAUCACUCAUCAUUGAAAGCUAGCAGACUGUGCUGACCGGGUCACGGGUCCCAAAAUUACAAUUUGUCCCCUCGGCGCCAGAUUUAAUGAAUAGUAAUUAGCUAUCCCCUUACUGAUAUCUCAUCAAUGAUUUAAAUCACACCGGCCGUCGCCGGUUCGUUACUACAUAUGUUCACAUACACUGUUCUUUCGACUCGUCAGCAAAUUAUAAAUUUACACAAGAAUUCAUACUUACUCGGAAAAAAAACUGAUCAAAAUUUGGACAGACUAUACGACAAUAUGCAAAGUUUGAUUUAACAGGCUUUGCCUACCUUUUUUAUGGUGCACCUUGAGAUCAGUUUUCCGAGUUGAGCAGAAUUGUUGUCCUCCCCCGAAAGUCUUCACCCGUCCUCCGUGAACCGUCCUUUCACCAACUCGCCUUCUCACACCCAAAUCAACUCACUUCGACUGGAUCGUUAGUAAACCAUCCUCUGCCUACCAAGUUCUGUUAGAAAUUAGAUAUGUAGACGGGCGAGUCGGUCAAGGAUCGAUUCAGACAAGGUGGUAAAUUGUAUGACAAGCGACAGUUUAUUCAGAGUGAAGAUAUCUAGAACAGCGUAAAUACGGCUCCUCCGCUGGUUCGUACGGAACUG
Molecule: long non-coding RNA, 1237 nt
Organism: Oncorhynchus tshawytscha (Chinook salmon)
Lineage: Eukaryota; Metazoa; Chordata; Actinopteri; Salmoniformes; Salmonidae
Source: Ensembl